UUUUUAAAUGGAAUCUUGUAUGAAUGGUCGAACAAAAGAAAAACUGUCUUUAAAAUAAUAUUUGAAUUUAACUUUUAAGUGAGAAGGCUUAAAUAUAUUAGGGGGACGAUAAGACCCUAUAAAGCUUUAUAUUAUGGUUGAAUUUAAUUGAAUUUUAAUAAUAAGAAUUUAGUUUAAUUGUUUUAUUAUGUUGGGGCGACAAAAGUAAAAGUUGUAAUAACUGCUAGUAAGGAAGACAAUUAUAAGUGGGUUAACAGGGUAAAAGAUCCUAUGUUUAGAUUAUAAGAUUAAGUUACUUUAGGGAUAACAGUGUAAUUUUUUUCGAGAGUUCAUAUCGAAAAAAAAGUUUGCGACCUCCAUGUUGAAUCA
Molecule: ribosomal RNA, 369 nt
Filed under: Barytelphusa jacquemontii
Lineage: Eukaryota; Metazoa; Arthropoda; Malacostraca; Decapoda; Gecarcinucidae
Description: partial 16S ribosomal RNA
Source: RNAcentral